RNAcentral lists this small RNA (54 nucleotides) under Bacillus sp. FJAT-27986. RNAcentral describes it as "Bacillaceae-1 RNA". It matches the Rfam family "Bacillaceae-1 RNA". The record is from Rfam by way of RNAcentral. Lineage: Bacteria; Bacillati; Bacillota; Bacilli; Caryophanales; Bacillaceae.
GGUUAAGGAACGAAGACUAAAUUCGCCACAUCCUGUGGUAAUGUCAUCGUUCUU